This 284-nucleotide long non-coding RNA is filed under the name Panax ginseng (ginseng). Its description in RNAcentral is "long non-coding RNA (PGIN_LNC016819)". Lineage: Eukaryota; Viridiplantae; Streptophyta; Magnoliopsida; Apiales; Araliaceae. The record is from RNAcentral.
UUCUUCAAUAGUUAAAUUAACUAAUAAACCUCAUUUUCCCAACAUAUACAUCUCUUUUAUAUUCACACUUAAUCUCUUCACAUCAAUCACAUAUUUCAAGAUAAAUUGCAAAUAUAUAUACUUACCCACACUCAAAACACAUAAUUCAAAAUAUAUACAUAUCAUAAUAGUCUUAAUCUGUGCUGACAAUGCAGAAAGUGUCGCGAGUCCAUCAAUCUUUGCUUCCCUUGGCUUAGUCAUUCUCGUAUACGGCCAUUGAUAAUUAAAUUUUGUCAUGGUACCUG